GUAGUGCAAUGGGUAGCACGUUGGACUUCUAAUCCAAAGGUCGUGGGUUCGAAUUGCAACUAAGAGAAUCCCAUUCA
Molecule: non-coding RNA, 77 nt
Organism: Trichonephila inaurata madagascariensis
Lineage: Eukaryota; Metazoa; Arthropoda; Arachnida; Araneae; Nephilidae
Source: the annotation of a GenBank genome assembly